RNAcentral lists this long non-coding RNA (218 nucleotides) under Elaeis guineensis (African oil palm). RNAcentral's name for it is "long non-coding RNA (EGUI_LNC013749)". The record is from RNAcentral. Lineage: Eukaryota; Viridiplantae; Streptophyta; Magnoliopsida; Arecales; Arecaceae.
ACUGUAAAGCGCGCGCAGCCAGGGUCCUUUUCUUUCUUUCUUUCGUUCUUUUUUUUUUUUUUUCUAUUUAACCAUCUUUAUGUUGUACUGGACCACCAGGUCAAUGGCAGAUCUUAUCCAACCAAUAAUUUCUUCUAGUUUGGAUGUGUAUCUACGUGUUUAUAUUUUCAAAUAAAUGUGCCAAACUGGCUGUUUGGAUUGGAACACUGGUUUUGGGU